This 776-nucleotide ribosomal RNA is filed under the name uncultured bacterium. Its description in RNAcentral is "bacterial SSU rRNA". It matches the Rfam family "Bacterial small subunit ribosomal RNA", at positions 8 to 796 of the family's 1533-position model. The record is from RNAcentral.
AGAGUUUGAUCAUGGCUCAGGACGAACGCUGGCGGCGUGCUUAACACAUGCAAGUCACGGGGGCCCGCAAGGGUAACCGGCGAACGGGUGCGUAACACGUGAGCAAUCUGCCGUACACUGGGGGAUAGCCGGCCCAACGGCCGGGUAAUACCGCAUACGUUCUUCGAGUGGCAUCACUUGAAGAAGAAACCUCCGGGGGUGUACGAGGAGCUCGCGGCCUAUCAGGUAGUUGGUGGGGUCACGGCCUACCAAGCCAUUGACGGGUAGCUGGUCUGAGAGGAUGGCCAGCCACAUUGGGACUGAGAUACGGCCCAGACUCCUACGGGAGGCAGCAGUGGGGAAUAUUGCGCAAUGGCCGCAAGGCUGACGCAGCGACGCCGCGUGGGGGAUGAAGCAUUUCGGUGUGUAAACCCCUGUUGCUCGGGACGAACAACGAGUUUCGACUCGUCUGACGGUACCGGGUGAGGAAGCACCGGCUAACUCCGUGCCAGCAGCCGCGGUAAUACGGAGGGUGCGAGCGUUGUCCGGAAUCACUGGGCGUAAAGGGCGCGUAGGCGGUCUGCUAAGCGUGUGGUGAAAGCUCGGGGCUCAACCCCGCGUCGGCCAUGCGAACUGGUGGACUUGAGCACUGUAGAGGCAGGUGGAAUUCCGGGUGUAGCGGUGGAAUGCGUAGAGAUCCGGAAGAACACCGGUGGCGAAGGCGGCCUGCUGGGCAGUAGCUGACGCUGAGGCGCGACAGCGUGGGGAGCAAACAGGAUUAGAUACCCCGGUAGUCC